Molecule: ribosomal RNA, 460 nt
Filed under: uncultured bacterium
Lineage: Bacteria
Description: partial 16S ribosomal RNA
Rfam family: Bacterial small subunit ribosomal RNA
Source: RNAcentral
CCUACGGGUGGCAGCAGUGAGGAAUAUUGGUCAAUGGACGCGAGCCUGAACCAGCCAAGUAGCGUGAAGGAUGACUGCCCUACGGGUUGUAAACUUCUUUUAUAAAGGAAUAAAAUGUGCCACGUGUGCGUUUUUGUAUGUACUUUAUGAAUAAGGAUCGGCUAACUCCGUGCCAGCAGCCGCGGUAAUACGGAGGAUCCGAGCGUUAUCCGGAUUUAUUGGGUUUAACGGGAGCGUAGAUGGGUUGUUAAGUCAGUUGUGAAAGUUUGCGGCUCAACCGUAAAAUUGCAAUUGAUACUGGCAGCCUUGAGUACAGUUGAGGUAGGCGGAAUUCGUGGUGUAGCGGUGAAAUGCUGAGAUAUCACGAAGAACUCCGAUUGCGAAGGCAGCCCACUAAACUGCCACUGACACUGAUGCUCGAAAGUGUGGGUAUCAAACAGGAUUAGAGACCCGUGUAGUC